RNA transcript from Hevea brasiliensis (rubber tree), 2554 nucleotides. RefSeq lists it as uncharacterized. The transcript is spliced from 4 exons. The record is from RefSeq and is a predicted model, not a curated record. NCBI's taxonomy places the organism in Eukaryota, Viridiplantae, Streptophyta, Magnoliopsida, Malpighiales, Euphorbiaceae.
GUCUCUCUAAGUAUCUCCAUCACUUCAAUCCUUUUCUCUCUCUUUUUUUUUUUUUAAUAUCCAUUUACGAUUGAUUGAUUGAUUAAUUAAUUAAUUUAUAAUUGCUGAUCUUUCUCUUUCUUCCAAGUCUCUUUUCUUUGUGGCGUUUCUUUUUCUCUGUCCCUCUUCCUUUUAUUUUUGUUGGGAGUAAAAUCUACAUGGUGUCAGCUUCUGGUUUUGCAGGGACAUACAGGCAUAGAGAGAGAGAGAGAGAGAGAGAGAGAGAGAGAGAAGAGUGUUUAUCGCAGUCUAGAGAUAAUCUGAUCUAACUAUAAUCUGAAACCAAUCCACCCUAAUCUAAUGUAAUCUGAUAUUGAGAGAGGAAAUAGAGAAUUAAGAAAUAAGAGAAAUGUGAGGAGUGGGUUUUUGCGGCUUCACCAAAUCUAACCCCUACCCUCGCUGCUACCAUAACAACUUCAUCUCCUUCAUUCCGCAAGUAAAGAGCUACUGCUGCUACUUCACUCUCCUGUUACCACCAACCUUAAAGUCAAAGCUUGUAAUGGGGUCCGAACAGAAUAGGUUCCCUCAGCAGGAACGGCGUAAGAGAUGGGGAGGAUGCUGGGGUGCGUUUUCUUGUUUUGGCUUGCAGAAAGGUGGAAAACGUAUUGUGCCUGCAUCUCGUAUUCCUGAUGGUAAUGCAACAGCAGUGCAGCCAAAUGGAGCACAAGCUGGUGGUCUGACCAACCAAACUACGACACUAGCUCCAUCACUUUUAGCUCCGCCUUCUUCACCAGCAUCAUUUACUAAUUCGGCUCUCCCUUCAACGGCUCAGUCACCUAGUUGCUUCUUGUCUUUAUCAGCCAACUCGCCUGGUGGUCCUUCGUCCACAAUGUUUGCAACUGGGCCAUAUGCCCAUGAAACACAACUAGUUUCUCCUCCUGUUUUCUCAACCUUCACAACUGAGCCAUCUACUGCUCCUUUUACUCCCCCGCCAGAGUUAGCUCACUUAACUACGCCCUCUUCCCCAGACGUGCCUUUUGCUCAAUUCCUCUCAUCAUCUGCGAAUUUCAAAAGCACUGAGAAGACUAAUUACAUUGCUGCUGGUGAUCUUCAAGCUACAUAUUCGCUUUAUCCUGGAAGUCCUGCUAGCAGUCUCAUUUCACCAAUUUCUAGGACCUCAGGUGACUGUUUAUCAUCAUCCUUUCAUGAACGAGAGUUCCCCCCUCAAUGGGAUCCUUCAGUCUCUCCCCAAAAUGGAAAAUAUUCAAGGAGUGGUUCUGGCAGGCUCUUUGGGCAUGACACAACUGGUGCCUCCUUGGUAUCUCAAGAUACAAAUUUCUUUUGUCCUGCGACAUUUGCACGAUUCUAUCUGGACCAUAAUCCACCAUUUCCUCAUACUGGUGGGAGGUUAAGUGUUUCCAAGGAUUCAGAUGUUUAUCCUGCUGGUGGAAAUGGCCAUCAGAACAGGCACAAUAGAAGUCCCAAGCAAGAUGUGGAAGAAUUAGAAGCUUACAGAGCAUCCUUUGGGUUCAGUGCUGAUGAAAUUAUCACUACUCAACAAUAUGUAGAAAUUUCUGAUGUAAUGGACGACUCAUUUACCAUGACUCCUUUUACUUCAACUAAACCUACCCGAGAAGAAAGUGAUGAAGCUGCAUCUAGGAGUGAAGGCCAAAAGGCACAGACAAUACUGACAAACUUGCCAAGCAUUAAAUUGAAAUCAGAUACUAUAUGUGGCGAUGUACCAGUCUCUUGUGAUGGAAAUGAAGAUCCUAAAUCAAGAAAGCAGGCUGGAGAUAUCUCUGCGUCAAGUACACCUGGUAUCCAUGCUCUGAAAGAUGAUGAUAACAUAUUUUCAAAGAUGACAUCAUCCAAAAUCAGCAGGAGAUAUGAUCUGGGAGCAUCUUGCUCUGAUGCAGAAAUUGACUAUAGGAGGGGAAGAAGCUUAAGAGAAGGCAAAGGAGAUUUUGCGUGGCAUGACUAAAUUAGAGAAAAAGCAAGUCGUCAGUUGUUUCCCAUGUAUUAAGUUGCAGGUUUCUGUCAUACUCUUCUGUUUGGAGUUAUCUGUGAUAGGUGGAUGAUCUAACAUAUGAUCUAACGUAUUCUUCUCCUGUAUUUCCUCCUUUCCUGCUCUUUCAGGUGAACGUCUGAUUAUUUGUCAACUUUUUAUUUGGUAGUAUGAAUUGCUUGGGAGUAACGAAUUGCUCGACAUUGCAUUGUUAACUCAUUAAAGCAGCAUUCUUUUUUUACCUCGAAGAAAUAUGGUUUCAUUAGCCUUCAAAUUGGCAAAGAUUGUGAUACAAAGUGAUAUUGCAAACGAGGAUUGCUUCUAAAGGAAGUAUCAUAUAGGUGCUUCUGUACAAGAGAAUGAACAAGCCCUACGAAAAAAAUGAGAUUCAAAACCCUCGUUCUUGAUAAAUGGGAUGAAGGAAGUUUCUGUCCUUUUGCAGUGAUGUUGAAUUUUGUAGAAUUUCAAGUGGGAAUUAUUUGCUAUUCCUGAUACUGAAUUGUCUACGAGGUUUUGGCGUUUUGCACUGCAAUUAUAUUAGUAUAUGCAUAUAGAGAGUAGUUGAUGAAA